UCUUCCUCAAGUAGCUUCAUGAUAAGGUA
RNAcentral lists this non-coding RNA (29 nucleotides) under Rattus norvegicus (Norway rat). Lineage: Eukaryota; Metazoa; Chordata; Mammalia; Rodentia; Muridae. The record is from RNAcentral.